CAUGAUGAACGCUAGCUACAGGCUUAACACAUGCAAGUCGAGGGGCAGCAUGGUCUUAGCUUGCUAAGGCCGAUGGCGACCGGCGCACGGGUGAGUAACACGUAUCCAACCUGCCGUCUACUCUUGGACAGCCUUCUGAAAGGAAGAUUAAUACAAGAUGGCAUCAUGAGUCCGCAUGUUCACAUGAUUAAAGGUAUUCCGGUAGACGAUGGGGAUGCGUUCCAUUAGAUAGUAGGCGGGGUAACGGCCCACCUAGUCUUCGAUGGAUAGGGGUUCUGAGAGGAAGGUCCCCCACAUUGGAACUGAGACACGGUCCAAACUCCUACGGGAGGCAGCAGUGAGGAAUAUUGGUCAAUGGGCGAGAGCUUGAACCAGCCAAGUAGCGUGAAGGAUGACUGCCCUAUGGGUUGUAAACUUCUUUUAUAAAGGAAUAAAGUCGGGUAUGGAUACCCGUUUGCAUGUACUUUAUGAAUAAGGAUCGGCUAACUCCGUGCCAGCAGCCGCGGUAAUACGGAGGAUCCGAGCGUUAUCCGGAUUUAUUGGGUUUAAAGGGAGCGUAGAUGGAUGUUUAAGUCAGUUGUGAAAGUUUGCGGCUCAACCGUAAAAUUGCAGUUGAUACUGGAUAUCUUGAGUGCAGUUGAGGCAGGCGGAAUUCGUGGUGUAGCGGUGAAAUGCUUAGAUAUCACGAAGAACUCCGAUUGCGAAGGCAGCCUGCUAAGCUGCAACUGACAUUGAGGCUCGAAAGUGUGGGUAUCAAACAGGAUUAGAUACCCUGGUAGUCCACACGGUAAACGAUGAAUACUCGCUGUUUGCGAUAUACUGCAAGCGGCCAAGCGAAAGCGUUAAGUAUUCCACCUGGGGAGUACGCCGGCAACGGUGAAACUCAAAGGAAUUGACGGGGGCCCGCACAAGCGGAGGAACAUGUGGUUUAAUUCGAUGAUACGCGAGGAACCUUACCCGGGCUUAAAUUGCAGAUGAAUUACGGUGAAAGCCGUAAGCCGCAAGGCAUCUGUGAAGGUGCUGCAUGGUUGUCGUCAGCUCGUGCCGUGAGGUGUCGGCUUAAGUGCCAUAACGAGCGCAACCCUUGUUGUCAGUUACUAACAGGUUCCGCUGAGGACUCUGACAAGACUGCCAUCGUAAGAUGUGAGGAAGGUGGGGAUGACGUCAAAUCAGCACGGCCCUUACGUCCGGGGCUACACACGUGUUACAAUGGGGGGUACAGAGGGCCGCUACCACGCGAGUGGAUGCCAAUCCCCAAAACCUCUCUCAGUUCGGACUGGAGUCUGCAACCCGACUCCACGAAGCUGGAUUCGCUAGUAAUCGCGCAUCAGCCACGGCGCGGUGAAUACGUUCCCGGGCCUUGUACACACCGCCCGUCAAGCCAUGGGAGCCGGGGGUACCUGAAGUGCGUAACCGCGAGGAGCGCCCUAGGGUAAAAC
RNAcentral lists this ribosomal RNA (1439 nucleotides) under uncultured bacterium. Its description in RNAcentral is "bacterial SSU rRNA". It matches the Rfam family "Bacterial small subunit ribosomal RNA". The record is from RNAcentral.